Molecule: ribosomal RNA, 343 nt
Filed under: uncultured soil bacterium
Lineage: Bacteria
Description: bacterial SSU rRNA
Rfam family: Bacterial small subunit ribosomal RNA
Source: RNAcentral
AGAUUGAACGCUGGCGGCAUGCUUUACACAUGCAAGUCGAACGGCAGCGCGGGGCAACCUGGCGGCGAGUGGCGAACGGGUGAGUAAUAUAUCGGAACGUACCCAAGAGUGGGGGAUAACGUAGCGAAAGUUACGCUAAUACCGCAUACGAUCUAAGGAUGAAAGCAGGGGACCGCAAGGCCUUGUGCUCCUGGAGCGGCCGAUAUCUGAUUAGCUAGUUGGUAGGUAAAGGCCUACCAAGGCUACGAUCAGUAGCUGGUCUGAGAGGACGACCAGCCACACUGGAACUGAGACACGGUCCAGACUCCUACGGGAGGCAGCAGUAGGGGAAUAUUGGGACAAG